GGGGAAUCUUGGACAAUGGGGGGAACCCUGAUCCAGCCAUGCCGCGUGAUCGAUGAAGGCCCUAGGGUUGUAAAGAUCUUUCAGCUGGGAAGAUAAUGACGGUACCAGCAGAAGAAGCCCCGGCUAACUCCGUGCCAGCAGCCGCGGUAAUACGGAGGGGGCUAGCGUUGUUCGGAAUUACUGGGCGUAAAGCGCACGUAGGCGGAUCGGCAAGUUAGGAGUGAAAUCCCGGGGCUCAACCCCGGAACUGCCCUUAAAACUGCAGGUCUUGAGUUCGAGAGAGGUGAGUGGAAUUCCGAGUGUAGAGGUGAAAUUCGUAGAUAUUCGGAGGAACACCAGUGGCGAAGGCGGCGCACUGGCUCGAUACUGACGCUGAGGUGCGAAAGCGUGGGGAGCAAACAG
Molecule: ribosomal RNA, 402 nt
Filed under: uncultured organism
Description: bacterial SSU rRNA
Rfam family: Bacterial small subunit ribosomal RNA
Source: RNAcentral